UUUUUUUUUUUUUUUUUAGUAGAGAUGAGGACUCACUAUGUUGCACAGACUGGUCCUGAACUCCUGAGCUCAAGUGAUCUGUCCAUGUCAGCCUCCCAAAGUGCUGGGAUUACAGGCUAAUUAGGGUUUCUAUUUCUUUUCUUACAACAGGAAAACAUUUCACUAGGGAGUCUCUAAAGUCAUUUCUAGCCUUAAGUUUGUGUGAUUUAGUGAUGAGCAGUAAUCUCAGAGAAGAUGCUAUGUGGAAGGGAUAGCUGGUUGCAGCUGGGUCACUGAAAAUCACCAAGUUCAUACCCUUAGUAAAAUUAUUUUACAUAUUGAUAAGUCACAACUCUCUCAACCUCACACCCUACAUCCACUCCCCCCAUCAAUUUCCACACAUGCUUUUGGGUUAUGGAAUAUCAGCAGGCAGUGAAAACCACCACAAACAACAACAACAACACACACACUCACACACUCUGAACCUGAAAACCAAAACUUCUUGGGAUUUUCAGGUCAUGGUCCCAGCUACCCAGCUUCCUGGGAAAUAAAGUAGCAAGUGUUAAUACCUCAUUUUUACCUAUAAACAGGUACAGAAAAAAAUGAAAAUUGUUCCUUAAGCAUCAAUUUAUGAGUUUUUGACAAUGCUGGGGUAUAAAGCUAUUAUUUCUGGGUUCUGCUUAAGACACUCCCCUUUGUCCUCACUACCACUUGGAUAUCUAUAGUUCAGACAAUACCAAAUAUUCCUCUUUCCACCUAGAGGGCUCACAAUCUGCAGUUAAGCAAGAACAAGAGCAAGCCAAAGCAAGUCUAUAGCAUCACAGAUGGGUCAUCCAACUCAAUCACAGAUAUUCUCCUCAUCUCCAGCAAAGAAACCUGCUGUCUCUCUAAUGCACUGACAUCAUUUCCCUAGGGCAAGGUCUGAUUUCUCUGGUAUAUUAUUCAUAGAAAUAUUAUACAUUUUGGUAAAUGCAAAUAGAGGAUAAACUCAGUCAAAAACAAUUCACAGGUUAGCUUGUUUAAAAGAGAUGGGAGUGAGAAAUCACUUUUUCCUGUAUUUGUUUUCCCAAGGUUUCUCACUCCUCUGCAGAAUGAGAUUCCGGGUUUAGAGACAUUAAGAAACCAGUAACCACGGGACCCGUUGCCUGGAAACGGCCUGAUUACAACCAACUCACUAGGCUACAAGGAAAUUCUACCUGAUCCUUUAGGACCAUUUGUCAAGCCUCAUUAUGAUGAUAAAGAAAAUUUAUACUUUCGUAAAGCCUUCGAAAAUUAUUGCCAUGAGAUUCUGAAAAAUCUCGGCAUCUGCUUUGGGGAAGAAAUGGGAAAUUAACAUGAGCAUCCAGUGUCAAAAAUUGACAGCCUAGACAAAAUAAAGAAAAAUUAGUUCAGCAUCAUGCACAGAAUUCAGAAAUCAAAAAUCCAAAUCCAAUGCUGAACAAAUAAUUUCUGGGAAUUGUACUGUCUGGGGUUAGAAGCCAAGGCAGCCGGAAAAUCACUAAUAAAGGGCAUUUGCAUUCUGCAGCAGUACAACUUCACUUGUGCUUCCCUGUACAUCUAAGAAGAACUUUCAAUCCAGUGCUGCCAUUAACAGCUGCUUUGAAACACACACCAGUU
Macaca fascicularis (crab-eating macaque) is the source of this 1596-nucleotide long non-coding RNA. NCBI's taxonomy places the organism in Eukaryota, Metazoa, Chordata, Mammalia, Primates, Cercopithecidae. The record is from Ensembl.